This 193-nucleotide microRNA precursor is filed under the name Oryza nivara. RNAcentral describes it as "MIR812 microRNA precursor family". It matches the Rfam family "MIR812 microRNA precursor family". Lineage: Eukaryota; Viridiplantae; Streptophyta; Magnoliopsida; Poales; Poaceae. The record is from Rfam by way of RNAcentral.
AAUAAGUGCAGUUUUGCGCUGUUUAUAUUCAAUGUUAUAAUAAAAAAUUUUAUAGUUAGUACUUUUGUUGUUAUUAGAUGAUAAAAUAUGAAUAGUAUUUUAUGUGUGACUAAUUUUUUAAAUUUUUUUAUAAAUUUUUCAAAUAAGACGAAUGGUUAAAUGUUGGACACGGAUAUCCAUGACUGCACUUAUU